AACGAACGCUGGCGGCAUGCCUAACACAUGCAAGUCGAACGAGACCUUCGGGUCUAGUGGCGCACGGGUGCGUAACGCGUGGGAACCUGCCCUUAGGUUCGGAAUAACUCCCCGAAAGGGGUGCUAAUACCGGAUAAUGUCUUCGGACCAAAGAUUUAUCGCCUUUGGAUGGGCCCGCGUUGGAUUAGCUAGUUGGUAGGGUAAAAGCCUACCAAGGCGACGAUCCAUAGCUGGUCUGAGAGGAUGAUCAGCCACACUGGGACUGAGGCACGGCCCAGACUCCUACGGGAGGCAGCAGUGGGGAAUAUUGGACAAUGGGCGAAAGCCUGAUCCAGCAAUGCCGCGUGAGUGAUGAAGGCCUUAGGGUUGUAAAGCUCUUUUACCCGGGAUGAUAAUGACAGUACCGGGAGAAGAAGCUCCGGCUAACUCCGU
This 432-nucleotide ribosomal RNA is filed under the name uncultured bacterium. RNAcentral's name for it is "partial 16S ribosomal RNA". It matches the Rfam family "Bacterial small subunit ribosomal RNA", at positions 29 to 506 of the family's 1533-position model. The record is from RNAcentral.